AUUAUGCAGGGCUAGCCAAAGGAGCCUAAACCAUGUAGGACAAAAUUGCAAAGAUAUAGACAUUAUUAUUUUUAACUUUUGUUUUAGUUUGUCAUCUAUAUCUGGGCUUUUUAUGCUCAGGAAAAACGUGGAACUCACUAUGAAAUGCAGAAUCUCUGCAAAUCAGUCCCGAGAGCCCCCACGAUCCUUCACUGAAGUCAAGGAAUCGAACACUCAGCUCGUAGAGCGGAUUGCUCAUUCCUCGCAGCUGAUAUCACAUGGGGGCCUACACUGGUCUGGAGUAAAGAGAAAUAAAUCGGAAACUUGCGAUAACUCUAGAACCAUGGUCCUUAAAGUACGGCUCCCCAACCAGCACCAUCAGUUUCACCUGGGAACUUGUUAGAAAUGCAGUUUCUCAGAACCCAGCCCAGACCUGCUCUGUCAGAAGCUCUAGGGGUGCCUCGUAUUCUCCAUUUAGCAAGUUCUCCAGUUGAUUCUGCUGCAGGCUGAACUUUGAGAACCACUGCUCUGGAUAAGAUUGAAGGCAAUUCCCGAAAGCUGAAGAGAGAUCACCAUAGACAUGUGGCAUCAUCUGUAUAUCCUCUAGUAGAAAGCAGGAGCCGCACUCCCCAGGUCUAGAACCGGAAGUGCGCCUCAUUAUGAAAUGAAAAAAAGGAGAAUUCCAGAUAUACAGAUAUACACCAAAUAAAAUGAAUGUUAGCCCUCAGGAAUGGUGAUUGCAAAGACUGAAGAUCCUGGAUUCAGGUCACACUACAGAGGGAUUUUGAACUUUUUCCUCAAGCCAGAUUGUAUGGUUUAACAGUUUUUCUGUUAGAAGAACGGAGCAGAUGAUGUGAAAUUUCAGUCAAAGGCAGCAAAAAUGAAAGCAAGGCAAAGGUAACAUUGGAAAUGAAAAGUGCAUCAAUAAAAAGAUGGAGAGCUGAAACUCCUGCGGGAAACGGAAACGCUUAUUUUUAAGAUUAUGUCGCCACCUAGUAAAUCAGCAUAGAAAUACACCCGCAGCAAGUGCAGCCUGUGCUGAGCUCCGUCCUCUGGCUAGCAAUUCCCACUGGCACCUUUCUCUCUAAACAUCUGCACACACAAGACGAGCCUGCGACCUGCACCAGCCUCUCGAGUUCUCAGUCACAGCCCAGCUCACAGCCAGCUCUUCCUCCAGGGUUACGGAACGGAGAAGUCAACAGCACACGUUUGAGACCUGAAAACGUGUCGAGAUUUUCUCUCCAUCUCUGUUACCUACCUUUGGAAAUGAUUAGUUCAAACCGCACAGAUUAUUGUUUGCCUGUUCUAAAUAAUGUAACUCUGGGCUGUUCGUUAGUGAAAUAUUUUUCAUUUUCUACUUUUGUUUCUGUCUCAUAAAAGAAGUGGGCCGGUCAUGGUCUUUCUCUGUGGGGAAGCACAGGAAUCGUGGAAUUAAAAACACUACACAGAGAAGCCCACUUUUUUCAGUUAAAGCCGUGCCUUUAGUUUUGCUGUUAUUUUAAGCAGUCUCAUUUCAUCUGCAGUAGUGUUUGCACUGAAUAGUUGAUCACCCACCCUGGUUUUUUUUUUUUUUUUUUUUUUUGCUUGAGGAAGAUUAGCCCUGAGCUAACAUCUGCACCAAUCUUCCUUUACUUUAUAUGCAGGUUGCCGCCACAGCACGGCUAACAAAUGGUGUAGGUCCAUCCCCAGCAUCAAAACCCAGGCUGCGGAAGUGGAUUGCACUGAACUUAAUCACUAGGCCCUGGGGCCAGCCCCCUGGUUUUGUUUUUUAUGAAGAGAGAGUUAGUUUGAUAAAAUAUCACACAGAGUUUUAUUGGUUUGGUGUCUACAGAUGAUUGGUCCCCAGGGGUGGGAUUCUGGCCAUACCCUUUGCUACUCCUAAUUUUUUCAUCUGUGAGAUGGGGAUAACAAUAGUAUAUACAGCACUUGACUUUUAGGAGGAAUAAAUUAAAGUGCUCAGAAAUUUUAGCUAUCGUUAUCAAUAACAAAAAUACACUGAUUGAAAUGGUUGAAAAAAAUUCCAUGUUGCCACUCACAAUAGAUUGAAAUGCUUUAGCCAAGCAAAUAGAUACAGAGAAAGGAGGCAUAUAUUCAGAGACCAGGAAACCAUCCAUUUUUAAAAAUUCAAGUGAUAAAAUUUUUUAAAAUGAUUAGAUUUUAAUAAUUAUAAAAUUGAUUAAAUUCAAAUGCUUUAAAAACCUUGACAAUGCGCCUCCAUUCUUUUUCUCUACUUUCUCCCUUCCUUUUAGAAACCUAUCCUCACUUGAGUCCUCCGAAUAGUAUCUCCAUUUUGUUUUAAGGACUGCUUAGAAUAUUUUGACAGAGUCAAAA
Equus asinus (donkey) is the source of this 2310-nucleotide long non-coding RNA. NCBI's taxonomy places the organism in Eukaryota, Metazoa, Chordata, Mammalia, Perissodactyla, Equidae. The record is from Ensembl.